RNAcentral lists this ribosomal RNA (450 nucleotides) under uncultured bacterium. RNAcentral's name for it is "bacterial SSU rRNA". It matches the Rfam family "Bacterial small subunit ribosomal RNA", at positions 354 to 796 of the family's 1533-position model. The record is from RNAcentral.
GUGGGGAAUUUUGGACAAUGGGCGCAAGCCUGAUCCAGCAAUGCCGCGUGCAGGAAGAAGGCCUUCGGGUUGUAAACUGCUUUUGUCAGGGAAGAAAUCUUCUGGGCUAAUACCCCGGGAGGAUGACGGUACCUGAAGAAUAAGCACCGGCUAACUACGUGCCAGCAGCCGCGGUAAUACGUAGGGUGCGAGCGUUAAUCGGAAUUACUGGGCGUAAAGCGUGCGCAGGCGGCUUUGCAAGACAGAUGUGAAAUCCCCGGGCUCAACCUGGGAACUGCAUGUGUGACUGCAAGGCUAGAGUACGGCAGAGGGGGAUGGAAUUCCGCGUGUAGCAGUGAAAUGCGUAGAUAUGCGGAGGAACACCAAUGGCGAAGGCAAUCCCCUGGGCCUGUACUGACGCUCAUGCACGAAAGCGUGGGGAGCAAACAGGAUUAGAUACCCUGGUAGUCC